RNAcentral lists this ribosomal RNA (700 nucleotides) under uncultured Nitrospira sp. RNAcentral's name for it is "bacterial SSU rRNA". It matches the Rfam family "Bacterial small subunit ribosomal RNA", at positions 63 to 755 of the family's 1533-position model. The record is from RNAcentral. Lineage: Bacteria; Pseudomonadati; Nitrospirota; Nitrospiria; Nitrospirales; Nitrospiraceae.
CGAGCGAGAAGACGUAGCAAUACGUUUGUAAAGCGGCGAACGGGUGAGGAAUACAUGGGUAACCUACCCUUGAGUGGGGAAUAACUAGCCGAAAGGUUAGCUAAUACCGCGUACGCUUCCUGGACUUCGGUUCAGGGAGGAAAGCGCUACCGUGGGUAGCGCGCUCUUGGAUGGGCUCAUGUCCUAUCAGCUUGUUGGUGAGGUAACGGCUCACCAAGGCUUCGACGGGUAGCUGGUCUGAGAGGACGAUCAGCCACACUGGCACUGCGACACGGGCCAGACUCCUACGGGAGGCAGCAGUAAGGAAUAUUGCGCAAUGGGCGAAAGCCUGACGCAGCGACGCCGCGUGGGGGAUGAAGGUCUUCGGAUUGUAAACCCCUUUCGGGAGGGGAGAUGGAAUGGGGUAACCCAUUCGGACGGUACCUCCAGAAGCAGCCACGGCUAACUUCGUGCCAGCAGCCGCGGUAAUACGAAGGUGGCAAGCGUUAUUCGGAUUUACUGGGCGUACAGGGAGCGUAGGCGGUUCGGUAAGCCCUUUGUGAAAUCUCCAGGCUUAACCUGGAAAAGUCGGAGGGGACUGCCGGGCUAGAGGACGGGAGAGGAGCGCGGAAUUCCCGGUGUAGCGGUGAAAUGCGUAGAGAUCGGGAGGAAGGCCGGUGGCGAAGGCGGCGCUCUGGAACGUUUCUGACGCUGAGGCUCG